Molecule: ribosomal RNA, 253 nt
Filed under: uncultured bacterium
Lineage: Bacteria
Description: partial 16S ribosomal RNA
Rfam family: Bacterial small subunit ribosomal RNA
Source: RNAcentral
GACAGAGGGGGCAAGCGUUGCUCGGAAUCACUGGGCGUAAAGGGCGCGUAGGCGGGAUGGCAAGUCAGUCGUGAAAUCUCUCGGCUCAACCGAGAAACGUCGGCUGAUACUGCCGUUCUUGAGGGAUGCAGAGGAGACUGGAAUUCCCGGUGUAGCGGUGAAAUGUGUAGAUAUCAGGAGGAACACCGGUGGCGAAGGCGGGUCUCUGGGCAGCAACUGACGCUGAGGAGCGAAAGCGUGGGGAGCGAACAGG